GAUGAACGCUGGCGGCGUGCCUAAUACAUGCAAGUCGAACGCUGGAAAUCUAGCUUUCUAGGUUGCAGGAGUGGCGAACGGGUGAGUAAUACAUAAGCAACCUACCCACGAAGACUGGGAUAAUCUCUGGAAACGGGGACUAUUCCCGGAUAGGUAAUCGGAAGGCAUCUUCUGAUUAUUAAAGGUUAAAAACACUGGUGGAUGGGCUUAUGGCGCAUUAGUUAGUUGGUGAGGUAACGUCCCACCACGACGAUGAUGAGUAGCCGGACGGAGAGGGUGAACGGCGACAGUGGGACUGGGACAAGGCGCAGAGUCAUACGGGAGGCAGCAGUAGGGAAGUGACGGCAAUGGGAGAAACCCUGACGGGGCAACGCCGCGUGAGUGAUGACGGCCUUCGGGUUGUAAAGCUCUGUUGUAAGAGAAGAACGGUAGAUAGAGAAUAUCUAAAUGACGGUACCUGACCAGAAAGCAACGGCUAACUACGUG
Molecule: ribosomal RNA, 486 nt
Filed under: uncultured bacterium
Lineage: Bacteria
Description: partial 16S ribosomal RNA
Rfam family: Bacterial small subunit ribosomal RNA
Source: RNAcentral